Molecule: ribosomal RNA, 394 nt
Filed under: uncultured bacterium
Lineage: Bacteria
Description: bacterial SSU rRNA
Rfam family: Bacterial small subunit ribosomal RNA
Source: RNAcentral
GGAUUAGAUACCCGGGUAGUCCACGCUGUAAACGAUGAUUACUAGGUGUGGGGGGUUUAACCCCCUCCGUGCCGGAGUUAACACAAUAAGUAAUCCACCUGGGGAGUACGAUCGCAAGGUUGAAACUCAAAGGAAUUGACGGGGGCCCGCACAAGCAGUGGAUUAUGUGGUUUAAUUCGAAGCAACGCGAAGAACCUUACCAGGUCUUGACAUCCCCUGAAUAACCUAGAGAUAGGUGAAGCCUUUCGGGGCAGGGAGACAGGUGGUGCAUGGUUGUCGUCAGCUCGUGUCGUGAGAUGUUGGGUUAAGUCCCGCAACGAGCGCAACCCUUACUAUUAGUUGCUACGCAAGAGCACUCUAAUGGGACUGCCGUGGACAACACGGAGGAAGGUGG